This 422-nucleotide ribosomal RNA is filed under the name uncultured Ascomycota. Its description in RNAcentral is "SSU rRNA". It matches the Rfam family "Eukaryotic small subunit ribosomal RNA", at positions 832 to 1254 of the family's 1831-position model. The record is from RNAcentral. Lineage: Eukaryota; Fungi; Ascomycota.
GGUUCUAUUUUGUUGGUUUCUAGGACCGCCGUAAUGAUUAAUAGGGACAGUCGGGGGCAUCAGUAUUCAAUUGUCAGAGGUGAAAUUCUUGGAUUUAUUGAAGACUAACUACUGCGAAAGCAUUUGCCAAGGAUGUUUUCAUUAAUCAGGAACGAAAGUUAGGGGAUCGAAGACGAUCAGAUACCGUCGUAGUCUUAACCAUAAACUAUGCCGACUAGGGAUCGGACGAUGUUAUUUUUUGACUCGUUCGGCACCUUACGAGAAAUCAAAGUGCUUGGGCUCCAGGGGGAGUAUGGUCGCAAGGCUGAAACUUAAAGAAAUUGACGGAAGGGCACCACCAGGGGUGGAGCCUGCGGCUUAAUUUGACUCAACACGGGGAAACUCACCAGGUCCAGACACAAUAAGGAUUGACAGAUUGAGAG